Long non-coding RNA from Amblyraja radiata (thorny skate), 149 nucleotides. RefSeq lists it as uncharacterized. NCBI's taxonomy places the organism in Eukaryota, Metazoa, Chordata, Chondrichthyes, Rajiformes, Rajidae. The record is from RefSeq and is a predicted model, not a curated record. The transcript has 3 exons.
UGGGGUUUCACGAAGUGGAAUUUGGGGAUUAAAUGGGAGUCUUUGGGGUCAGGUCGACCCGCCGCUUCCUCUCCACAGACUCUGCGGCGACUGCCAGACUCCACCACUCACUCCCCGCCACCUCCACAUCCCAGUAAUGUCUCCCCGAU